This 406-nucleotide ribosomal RNA is filed under the name uncultured bacterium. RNAcentral describes it as "partial 16S ribosomal RNA". It matches the Rfam family "Bacterial small subunit ribosomal RNA", at positions 30 to 526 of the family's 1533-position model. The record is from RNAcentral.
AUUGACCGCUGGCGGCAGGCCUAACACCUGCAAGUCGAACGUGUGGCGGACGGGUGAGCAAAGUCUGGGAAAUUGCCUGUUGGAGGGGGAUAACUACUGGAAACGGUUGCUAAUACCGCAUACCAUCGGAUGUUCCCAGAUGGGAUUAGCUAGUAGGUGGGGUACAGGCUCACCUAGGCGACGAUCCCUAGCUGGUCUGAGAGGAUGACCGGCCACACUGGAACUGAGUCACGGUCCAGGCUCCUACGGGAGGCAGCAGUGGGGAAUAUUGCACUAUGGGCGCAAGCCUGAUGCAUCCAUGCCGCGUGGAUGAAGAAGGCCUUCGGGUUGUAAAGUACUUUCAGCGGUGAGGCGUUACCCGCAGAAGAAGCACCGGCUAACUCCGUGCCAGGAGCCGCGGUAAUUC